This is a long non-coding RNA of Homarus americanus (American lobster), 364 nucleotides long. RefSeq lists it as uncharacterized. The record is from RefSeq and is a predicted model, not a curated record. Lineage: Eukaryota; Metazoa; Arthropoda; Malacostraca; Decapoda; Nephropidae. The transcript is spliced from 3 exons.
CUGCCAUCUUUCAUAGUUUGAAGGUGUGGUGGUACAAGCUGGCUUGGCCUGAUCCAGAUUCAAGUGUACAGUUCCUUCAAAUAAUGUUGGAAAACAUGUAUUCCUCUGUAUAUAUUAUGUUGGUGCUCUGUGUGAGAGAGCAGAUGAUAUGCUUGAGGAAACAUCAAGGGUUAUCUCAUUUGCCAAAAGGUUUGUGUCGGAGCCCAGAAUGUUGAACACAUUCAAAAGGAAAUGGAACGACUACUUGAAAUCAUUGGCUUUGACUCACAAGUUCAUAAAAUCUGCCAAGCUGGUGGCUCAAGCCUUGUUAGCCAAAUACGAGCCAGUGUGGAUACAUUGUUUCUUAGCAAAGCAGAUGACAUGA